GUGCUCUGAAUGUCAAAGUGAAGAAAUUCA
Molecule: non-coding RNA, 30 nt
Filed under: Drosophila erecta
Lineage: Eukaryota; Metazoa; Arthropoda; Insecta; Diptera; Drosophilidae
Also listed under: 8 other names
Source: RNAcentral